Molecule: ribosomal RNA, 253 nt
Filed under: uncultured bacterium
Lineage: Bacteria
Description: partial 16S ribosomal RNA
Rfam family: Bacterial small subunit ribosomal RNA
Source: RNAcentral
UACGUAGGGGGCCAGCGUUGUUCGGAAUUACUGGGUGUAAAGGGUUCGUAGGCGGUGCGGCAAGUUGGGAGUGAAAUCUCUGGGCUCAACCCAGAGACGGCUUCCAAAACUGCUGUGCUUGAGUGUGAGAGAGGCUCGUGGAAUUGCAGGUGUAGCGGUGAAAUGCGUAGAUAUCGUAAGGAAGACCAGUGGCGAAGGCGGGUCUCUGGGCAGUAACUGACGCUGAGGAGCGAAAGCGUGGGGAGCGAACAGG